UUCAUCGAAAAAAACUCGCACCUGAAAAAAAUCUACGAAAAUUAACCUACGCCCCGACCGCCGCCCGCGGGUCGCCCGCUCCCUCGCGCCCCUGUUGCUCCCUCCUCGAUCCCGAUCUGGAUCGAGGGGACGAGGAGCUCCUGCCUCCCCGAGACCCCGACGGCCGGCCUCCUCCUCGCCCCGCCGCUGCGUCCGGCGCCGCCACGGCCUCUGGAGCCAGGGAAGCCAUGGCCUGAGCUCGGCCUCGAGGUCCCCGCCGCCGUCUCCUGCAGCUUCUGCCCCGCCGCCUCACCGCCCGAGCUCGCCGUCGCGCCGCCGCCGGCUCUGGUCGCCUCCACCUCCGCUCCAGGCAACCCUCGGUCGCCGGCUCGCUGGAGCACGACGGCAGACGAUGGAUGCCUGGUUGUGUGCGACGGAUGCAGUUCUCACGCGCAAGCUAGGGUUGGAGCCGCCAGCUCUUCAUCCUGCCCGCCGGCGGCGAGUCUUCCCUUCCCGUACUGCCGCCUCCCCGUUAUCACAGGUUCAUCUGGUCCUUUACUCCUCACAUAAUAACUGUGAAACUUAAUGAGGAACUUCUGAAAAAUGCUCCCUCCCCUCUGAUGUCUAUUUGGUUACUUAUGCUUGUGUGGUCUGGUUGUUCCUAAGUGCUUUCGGACAUUAUUAUUUGUGUGAUCAGCAUUGAGUAGAUUGCCUGCGGCAAGAUAACUUGAGUUUUUUUACUUAAGUAAACGAUACGUAAAUAGCUCUAAGUUAACUGGACAUUUUGUCGCAUUGGCUUGAAUCUGCAUGUUGCAUCAUUUGUGCACAAUGAAAACUGUAUGAACCUGCAUUGGAUGGUGUAUUUGUAGGAAGGUUAUCCUUUCUUCAAGGACUGGAAGUUUCUUGGUAAGUGUUCCUUUUUCUUAAAAACUCUGUGUUUGUUCGCUGUAAUAUUUUGUUUACAUCAGGUUUCUCUUUCCUUUUGUGGGCAUAAUGGGCGAGACAAUAAUAUUCAGAGAGUUGUUGUUUUAGGGAAACUUCUAACUCCAUAUGUCAGACCCAUAUCAUUGUUGAGCAUGCAUAGUGUUCCUAUGUCAUUUCUAUGAUGUAUUUGUUUCCUUUUAUAUCACAGUAGUCUUCAUUUUGGCCAUGUACCUUCAGACUGAACCAAAAAUGGUUUGUCUGAUGACAUGUUUGAGGAGAUUCUUGAUAUGAAACAGUAGAUAUGAGGGUGACCGUUUUUUUUGCAAGUUUUGUCCGUGGAAUCUUUUUGCAGUUGAUAAGACAUGGGCUGGACUUACUUCCGAUCUGCAAUAUUUUCGGUAAAGUGAUUCAAGGAAACAAACAUCCACUGUGUCAAUCACUCAAGAUGGUGCAUGCAGUUUUCCUGAAAGUUAAGUCUGAGAGCCUGCUCCUACAUAAAGCUGGGUGACGGGACGACGGCCAAUUUCUGGGAGGACAAAUGGUUGCCGGGUGGGCGUUCCGUCUAAGACCUGGCGCCAACACUGCUCACUUUUGUGCCCAAGAGCACAACUAGUCAUCUAUGGUUUGGAUGGGGCUGGGUUCCUACAACGACGGCAACAGAGGCGACAAACACCACUUUGCAACCUCGCCGAACUGUGUUGCUGAACUGAAGUUUAGGGACAGCAGCAGUUUUACCACCGAUGGUGUUGCAUGUAAGCUGGAUGUUCUCAUUGUUCUGUUGGCUUUGAUCGGUGUGUAUGCUAUGAAGUUAAGGUUCUUAAGAUUAAUGAUGUUUAUAGAAGUGAUGCAGGAUGUGAGGUACAACUAUCAAAGUGACAUUAAUUUUGGUUGUGAUUCCUAUCCGCAGCCUCUUCUACACUAGAGAAGGAAAACACUCGACGAUCUGGCUCUGUCUCAGGUAUAUGCUCCCUCGCCCGCAAGAUCCGCUCUCUCCCAUCUACGCAUCGCAACAGCACUUCAGCUCCUCUUGUGGAUUCUCACCAGAUCAGGCCACCUCACUCACCUUCAGUCUGUCGUGAUGGACAAAGUUAAGAUCCCAACAAAAAGUGCUUCUUGAUGCUAUGAUGCAGCAACUUAACCUUCCAAAUUACAGUUUACUAAACAGACCUCGCCGGCAGAUCCCUCAGCUAUCAGGGAAGGCAGCCAUCAGCAGAGAUUGAGGGCGCCUCUCCGGCGAGAGUGCUCAUGUCGUGGUGGUUUUCCACCAGCAGCGUGGGGGAGGCGGUGUCCUCUGCAGCUAGGUCUACUUACUGGCGACCUCACCAUCACCAGCCCACCUGCAGAGCAUUUGUAAAGGGCAGUUGAUCUUCUCAUUGGUUUCAUUGGCGUUGUAUGCAAGGUCUCAAAAGGUCUGCUGUUCCUGGAUGAUAGCUGCAUAUGAGGAUGUACGAAGGAUUUGGCUGCGAACUCAAUCAGACCAUUGGAUUGAAGCUGAAGGGGGCAUUGCAAAGAUACGAAGGAACGGCCUUUCGUUCAUAACCUGGUCAGCUACACAACAUCUGGUCGUACAUGUUUCUGUUGCAGCGGCCCAGUAACGUGGAGAAGAAUGGCAUACGCUGAGGAUUGUGUCAGCUGAUUUUCUAACUCAUGUUUAGCUCAUGGAUUCUCAUUUAUCUCUUCAAUUUACACAAGGAGGUGCAUUAUCAGCUCUUAUGUAUUUUCUUAAUAACCGUUGAUAGGAAUGACAACUAUGUUGAGAUGUGGUAGACCAUUGAAUGACUUUUGGUCCAGAAUGAAAAAUAGAGGCAUAAUUAUUGUAAUUUUGUUGCUGCUAAUUUCUUUCAAACGAAGCAUGGCUUCUAAUCCACAAAUCACGCUAACUAAUGUUCAUCACUUCAUAACGCCUAUAAGAAGUAUCUCUCCUUA
RNA transcript from Triticum aestivum (bread wheat), 2829 nucleotides. RefSeq lists it as uncharacterized. The transcript has 14 exons. The record is from RefSeq and is a predicted model, not a curated record. Lineage: Eukaryota; Viridiplantae; Streptophyta; Magnoliopsida; Poales; Poaceae.